This 264-nucleotide ribosomal RNA is filed under the name uncultured bacterium. RNAcentral's name for it is "partial 16S ribosomal RNA". It matches the Rfam family "Bacterial small subunit ribosomal RNA", at positions 57 to 305 of the family's 1533-position model. The record is from RNAcentral.
GCAAGUCGAGCGAGAAAGCACCUUCGGGUGUGAGUACAGCGGCGGACGGGUGAGUAACACGUAAUCAAGCUGCCCUCGAGACUGGGAUAACAGAGGGAAACCUCUGCUAAUACCGGAUGAUUUUGCUGGUUCGCAUGGACUGGCAGGUGAAGGUGGGGAUCCUACGGGACCUUCCGCUUGAGGAGGCGAUUGCGGCCUAUCAGCUAGUUGGCGGGGUAACGGCCCACCAAGGCGACGACGGGUAGCAGGUCUGAGAGGAUGAUC